This 419-nucleotide ribosomal RNA is filed under the name uncultured eukaryote. RNAcentral's name for it is "bacterial SSU rRNA". It matches the Rfam family "Eukaryotic small subunit ribosomal RNA", at positions 592 to 1017 of the family's 1831-position model. The record is from RNAcentral.
CAAUAGCGUAUAUUUAAGUUGUUGCAGUUAAAAGCUCGUAGUUGGAUUUCGGAUGUGAACGACCGGUCCGCCGUUGCGGUGUGCACUGGACGUUUGUAUCUUGUUGUCGGGGACGCGCUCCUGACCUUAACUGGGAGGGACGCGGAGUCGGCGCUGUUACUUUGAAAAAUUAGAGUGUUCAAAGCAGGCAACCGCUCUGAAUACAUUAGCAUGGAAUAACGCUAUAGGACUCUGGUCCUAUUGUGUUGGUCUUCGGGACCGGAGUAAUGAUUAAGAGGGACAGACGGGGGCAUUCGUACUGGGCCGCCAGAGGUGAAAUUCUUUAACUGGCUCAUGACGAACCACUGCGAAAGCAUUUGCCAAGAAUGUUUUCAUUAAUCAAGAACGAAAGUCAGAGGGUCGAAGAUGAUUAGAUACCA